GACGACAUUUGCGAAUGAUUAUGCAAAGUUUUCGCUGUAUUCGUGGUUUUUCAAGCUGUGUCGGUUUUUUAACAGACAUCAAAGCGCGCGAACCUCGAACCUUCGCGUAGUCUCCUACACAUUCGCUUGCCCAGUUGCGCCGACGAUUGCGAAGGUAACGGACGUAUACUAUACGCCAUUUUCAUAGUUCGUGACGUCUACUGUGUAGCGUAUCUUCAUGAAAAGAAAUCCCAUAAAAACAGCAUGACUGUUAAUGAUGUGUGGGAAAGAAUUAAAAACUCUUUUUCUCUUCAAUGUUCUAUUGACGAAUUAAAAAGGAGGAGAAAUUCGUGAGACAUUCGUAAACAAGUGUAGGAGGAAGCGCAAACGGGUUCGCAAAAAGAGUAUGCGAACCCAUUUGCACAGCCGCUAGGUUUGCGAAUGAAUGUUUGACGGCCCUUCAUCACGCCUUGCGCGCAUGUCAGUGGCCGGCAUUAGAUUCGAACCGUUGUCGAAGGGAUAAGACACCCGUUGCAUUCGUGUUGAACGAUUCACCGGUAUUCGAAUCCCGCAUGUGGGUACCAAUUUUUAAAAAUGAAACACCUACUUAACAAAUGUUCACGAUUGACUUCCACGGUGAAGGAAUAACAUCGUGUAAUCAAAAUCAUACCCGCAAAAUUAUAAUUUGCGUAAUUACUGGUUGUUGGCUUCAUAAAGGAGCUUUUGCCAAGCUGGUGCGAGGAGAGGAGACUGAUAUGUAAGCUCGAACACAGUAAAAGCGGAAAACGUGCAUACGGCCCACCUGAUGAUUAUCGUCGCUCAUGGACGUCGGCAAUGUCAGGGGCAGAGCCAAGCUGCUGCCUACCGUUUAAUACUCCACAAGCCUUGUUUGAAGGACAUGUCAUAGCGCUCAGGAAACACCGUAGAGGGGAGCUCGUUCCGAAGCCGGGUGGUAAAUAGCAAUAAAAACUUCUGGAAGCACACAGUGGAUGAACGCAGCAGUUCUGGAUAAUAUGGAUGGACUCUUUCCGGUGGCGGGCGGUACGGUGGUAAAAACGAGAUAAUGGAAUCAUCUCAAAUAAUUCCUCAGAGCAUUACAUAACAUAGAUAAAGAAGCAUGGUUCUGUAUUUUGACAGCAAUUCUUCUUCAAUUUCAGUAAAACAAUAGUUAUUUUCAUGUACUUUUUAUUAACAAAUUUGACAAUAAUUACAGUAAUGCAGUAUUUUAUUACAUAUGCUACUUCAGUUUAAUUGCUUGGCCUGAGAUAAUUAAAGAUAUUUUUGCUACAUACCUCAUUUCUCAUCAACAAACCAAUGGUAGAAAGUUUCGAGAACUACAAUUAUUUCUUACAUAAAAGGGCAGGAUUUGUUGCAGAAAACCAGUGCAUGUGGUAUUUACUGUUUAAUGCUCAAUCCAUGACAUAAGCUUAAACAUAAGCUGUUAUGUUUAAGCUUAUAAAUUAUCUUACCAAAAUAAAUUGACAGUUGCUCUAAAAAUACCAAUUUCAUAUUCUAUUAGCCAGAACUCUUCAAUUAAUAAAUAAAAUAAGAGCUAGCAAAAUCAUCUUAGCUGGCUGUUUUGACUGUACACUUAUGUACAUAUAUUUGUAUCGUGAAUCAUGCCAUACUGGUGGUAGGACCUCUUGUGAGUCCGCGUGGGUAGGUACCACCACCCUGCCUAUCUCUGCCAUGAAGCAGUAAUGCGUUUCGGUUUGAAGGGUGAGGCAGCCGUUGUAACUGUACUUGAGACCUUAGAACUUAUCUCUUAUCUCAAGCUGGGUGGCGCAUUUACGUCGUGGAUGUCUAUGGGCUCUAGUAACCACUUAACACCAGGUGGGCUAUGAGCUCAUCCACCCAUCUAAGCAAUAAAAAAAUAUUAUUAUGCUUUAACAUACAAACAUCUUAUUUGAGAUUUAUUGGUGGAGACCAAUUUUAGUAUAAUAUCGGUGGAGUCAUUUCAAUGCAACUACACCCAGUUGGUAGCAUGGAGCAUAGUUACUUCGAUCUUCAGACAGCCAUUUAUGUACAUUUAGGCACAUUUUGACCAUUUAUGACAUUACAAUAAUAUUAUUAUUUUAGUUUAGACUCAUAUAUUAAGAUAUUAUUAUAUCUCAAUUAAAGUCACCAUUGUGAUAAAAGUAAAUUAUUCUCCACCCCUAAGUGCCUUAUACUUUGUAAUCUCAUUAGGGAAGGUCUUCGAUAGCUCAGAAAGUAAAUGAGUUUUGAAUCGCUUGUAUGAAUCAAUUUUUCCUUUCACCUCUUCAUUUUUAGCCAAUGCUUUAUCUAUGCAGUCCUUUGUGUAGAGCUGUGGGUUACGGCCUUGAUCAAUGUAACUGAAAUAGAAAAUUUUACUGUGUCAUAUAAAAACUGCAAUAAAUCCUUUUAUAUCAUUUCAUUUUGACAAACACACUUCAAACAUAAACUUCAUUGUUGAUCCUAAAAGACUAACUCGACAAUAGACCAACUUACCAACCUUUUUUACAAAUUGACCUUCUUGGACUACCUGUUCUUACUCCCUGCAUUAUUAGCAAACAUAAAA
Bombyx mori (domestic silkworm) is the source of this 2518-nucleotide long non-coding RNA. RefSeq lists it as uncharacterized. NCBI's taxonomy places the organism in Eukaryota, Metazoa, Arthropoda, Insecta, Lepidoptera, Bombycidae. The transcript has 2 exons. The record is from RefSeq and is a predicted model, not a curated record.